Long non-coding RNA from Manis pentadactyla (Chinese pangolin), 3260 nucleotides. RefSeq lists it as uncharacterized. The transcript has 3 exons. Lineage: Eukaryota; Metazoa; Chordata; Mammalia; Pholidota; Manidae. The record is from RefSeq and is a predicted model, not a curated record.
CAAAUAAAGAGUUUAAUGAAACUUUAGUCAAUGGAACGAAAGGCUGACACACUUUCAUAUAACUACAGUGAAAUCUUAAUUGCCUGGAAACUCUGGGAAAUGAGCUGUUAAGGAAAGGAAUGUUUUUAAUGUAAAGCUUUGCUCUUUUAAGCAUCAAAACUUGAUUUCAGCCACACUGUAACUUGAAUGAUCUCACUUGCUCAGUUUGAAAAUCUUCAAUGCUGCAGAACGGGCACCUGGGGGCUCUCCACCCUCUAGUAGGUAUAUGCUUGGAGGUUUUCAUAAUAAAACCUUUACAAAUUCGUCAACGGCCCCCAUGCUUCCCUCCCUGCAUUCAAGGGCCCUGCCACCACUCCUGUCUGCCUCACUCCAGCUGCCAGCCUUUGUGCCAGGUCCUGCCUCUGGGAUCUUUUCUUCACAGGGCAGUCAGUGACUGGGUGGGUCUGGAGUGUGUCUUGGGCAAAUUCACUCCCUUAUGUUGCAGUUUCCACAACUAGGAAAGGGGUGACAGCAGUAAUGGCCUAAGAUUGCUGUGAGGAUCGAAUGAGUCAAUACACUUAAUGUGCUCAGAAUGGUGUGAGGACACAGCACUCAGUAUGGUGGCUGUCAGCGAUAUUCUUCAAGGUACAACGCAAACACUGCCUCUUCCAGGAUGGCCUCUCAGACUUCCCAGUCCCCACCAAAUCUUGAAUGAGCUCUUCCAUUGCUACCAACAUCAGACACAAUGUUUGCACCACUGUGUGGCACUAAUUUGAGAAGAUACAUGUACCAGUCUUUUUACUACAGCAUUCUUUACAACUGUCAAGAUAUGGAAGGAACCUAAGUGUACACUGACAGAUGAAUGGAUAAAGAAGAUGCAGUACAUAUACACAAUGGAAUAUAACCCGGCCAUAAAAAAGAAUGAAAUCUUAUCAUUUGUGACCACAUGGAUAGACCUAGAGAGCAUUAUGCUCAGUGAAGUGAGUCAGGCGAGGAAGACGAGUACCAUAAGAUCUCUCUCAUUAUGUGGGAUCUAAAAAAAAUAAAUAAAUGAGCAAAACAGAGCAGAAACAGACUCACAGACACAGAGAACAAUCUGAGUUGCCAGAGGGAAUAAGGGUGGGAGGGGAUGGGUGAAACAGGAAAAAACUACAUAGUAUUUUACUGUAGAAAUGGUCUAACUUGGAAGGAAUGGAAGAGUUAGUAACUUCCGAGGAAAACAAUGAAAUUCUGCUGAUGACAAAUCUUCAGAUCUUGCUGAAAACGAGAAGAACACUCUGACCUCUUGCUGGGAACCAUAAUCCGUUAGUGAAGGCCUAUUAGAGCCAAGACCACUUCUAGAAAACAUGCAAAACGAUUCUGAUAAAAUACACAGAAGGAAAAAGAAUGCUAUCUAUCCAUAGAAAAAUACUUGUCAAACCAAGAAUACAUAGAAGUGAAAUAAAGAAGUAAAACUUAAUGUAAAACACCCCUGUAUAUAUUUGAACAAACUUUCUCCAUUGCACAACUUACAAAAUAAACAAGCUAUAAAAAUCUUUCUGGUUUACCAUCACUUCUUCCUGGCCAAAAACUCAAGUCUCAAUUACUUCCAAGGGAGAUGGUGAGCCUACAAAUAUCUACACAUUCAGUCAUUUCAGUAAAGAAAUACAAACCAAAAUAAUUUUAUGGAACAUUGAACAGUGAUUCUAGGACAUGACAACUAAGUGUAAAGCUGAUGCAGCCCAGACCUGGCGCCAGGGAAAAACCGAAGCCACGGAGAACAUCACUGUCAACUGACAAAGCUGGUAAAGACAAGAGAUUAGCUAAAACAUAUUCCAUCAAUUUAAAAUUUAAAUUUAUGAACUAUGAUCAUGUAAAAAGCUAUCCCUAUUAGAAAACUGUCUCUGCAGUAUUACGGGUAAAGGGCCUUGCUUGACACAGGCAGCUUAUUCUCAUUGGUUCAGAAAAAAAUCACACAUAUACACACACACACACACCGUGGGGGAGAGGAACACAGUGAAUCUCAUAAAGCCCAUGAGUUAAAAUGUUAACUAACAAAAGGGAACUUAGUGUAAGUGUCAGACUGGUGGUCUUUGGACCAUUCUAUUCAUGCAAUUGUUCUGUUAAUGGGGAAGGGUUUCUAAACAGAGUUUUCAACACUGUUUCUUUUUUAAAGUCACUCUAGGCAUGAAAGGGGGCAGGAGGGCAGAGUGGUUGGGCACUCAGGCUUAGGGCCAGGCAGGUGAGAUUCAAGACUAGCUCCAGCAGGGCCCACCACUGUGGGUCUCCACCUCUCUCCAGGGGAGCAGCGUGCAGGCAGUAGCUGGAAGGGCACAGCAGGCUCAAGUUUGUGAAAGCACGUAAGACUCGUCAGUCAGCCGCUACCUGCCUGUCUGCUGCACACACACGCACGGGCAAUGCACCAGAUUAGCUGGGCAACCACUCCCCUGAGGGUGCCAGGACCAGCUAUCACCAACAUACCGGGAGGAAGAAGGUGUGUUCAAAGCCACUGUGCUCAAGGGAAAGGGUGGUACCCCAAUAUUCUAAACCUUGUUUAUAUCAGCAUCUGGAAAUGUUUCUCCAAACUCUGCCUGUGUGUGUGUGUGUGUGUGUGUAUAUGUAUGCGUGUAUGUAAGCACAAGUGUGUCUGGGGGGGUAGAUUUCAAUUUUGGGGUAAAAGUAUCACAUGCUCAUGACACAGAAUGUAUAGCCUUAUUGCUCAGUGCAUUUUGGGCUCCACAAAUAAAUCCUGUCGGGGUCGGGCCUCUGAGCACACACCCCCAUCGUGCAUUGUGGAGGGGCAGGCACAUGUCCCUGGGCUCUGCUGCAAAUGCAGACUCUUGCCCCACCCUGGGUUCCCGAUUCAGUUAGAACAGUAUGUGAACAACACUUUCGGUCCCGGUAUUCAUGAGGAGUGUCCUCGUUUCUGUGAUCUGCUUGGUGUUCUCAUUGACAGAGAAACCGAAACUGGGCACAUUUCAGAAAUCAGCCUUACAUCACAACCUACCUACAGCUCAGAGAUGCGUUAUUUCCAUGCAGAAAUCCAUUUCUUUCUGUGGCUCCUGUAAACCAUGUUCUGUGUUAGUGGCAUGUGGAGAGCCUCUGCCAGGAGACAGAUUCUGCCCACCAAGACCUCUCCAAAUGAUAGCAACAUCUACCUCAUCCCAAAAUCACUGUAUGGGGAGGGCAGUGACCAUGGGGAGCUGCCGCUGUUAUUGGCAAACAAAGUUCGUCUUACCUCACCAAAAGCCCCUCUUCCGAUCACUUUAAUUAUUUCGAAGUCUUCCCGACGAAGCUGCAUU